RNAcentral lists this ribosomal RNA (491 nucleotides) under uncultured organism. RNAcentral's name for it is "SSU rRNA". It matches the Rfam family "Bacterial small subunit ribosomal RNA", at positions 63 to 509 of the family's 1533-position model. The record is from RNAcentral.
CGAACGAAGUAGCCCAAUGAAGAUGGAGUGCUUGACACAAAAUUGGAUUUGGAUUUCUACUUAGUGGCAGACGGGUGAGUAACACGUGGGUAACCUACCUCAGAGACUGGGAUAACAGUUAGAAAUGACUGCUAAUACCGGAUGAUUCAUAGAUAGAUAACUAUCUAUGCUAAAAGAAGCGUUUGCUUCACUUUGAGAUGGGCUUGCGUUGUAUUAGUUAGUUGGUGGGGUAAUGGCCUACCAAGACAACGAUGCAUAUCCGAGCUGAGAGGCUGAUCGGACACACUGGGACUGAGACACGGCCCAGACUCCUACGGGAGACAGCAGUUAGGAAUAUUCGUCAAUGGGGGAAACCCUGAACGAGCAAUGCCGCGUGAGUGAUGAAGGUCUUAUAGAUUGUAAAAACUCUGUUGUAGAGAAAGAAACCUUAAGAUAGGAAAUGAUCUUAAGCUGACGGUACUCUACCAGAAAGCCCCGGCUAACUACGUGCC